GAUGAACGCUGGCGGCGUGCUUAAUACAUGCAAGUCGAACGGAAAGGCCCUGCUCUUGCGGGGUGCUCGAGUGGCGCGCGGGUGAGUAUCACGCGUGUAUCAUGUACCUGUCUUAGGGAUAACUCUAGGGAACUGGGGCUAUUAUCGGAUAGGAGCUCUUGCAGCACGGUGGGGGUUGGAAAGUUUCGGUGGUUGGGGAUGGAAUCGCGGCUUAUCCGCUUGUUGGUGGAGUAGUGGCUUACAAAGGGUUCGAAGGGUAGCCGGCCUUGGAGGGUGACCGGCCACAUGGGGACUAAGGUACGGACCAGACUCCUACGGUAGGCAGCAGUGGAAAAUAUGACACAGUAGGCGGAAGCCUGAUACGGCAACGCCGCGUGCGGAAUGACGGCCUUCGAGUUAUAAACCGAUUUCGCCGGUGACGAGGCGUGAGUGACGGUAAUGAAUAAGAAAGCACCGGCUAACUACGUG
RNAcentral lists this ribosomal RNA (468 nucleotides) under uncultured bacterium. RNAcentral's name for it is "partial 16S ribosomal RNA". It matches the Rfam family "Bacterial small subunit ribosomal RNA", at positions 28 to 507 of the family's 1533-position model. The record is from RNAcentral.